AGUGGUGGAAAAUGGUGUUGCUUCAUGGUUGUGACUUAUUUCCAGUGUGCAAUCAAGAAGCUGGUCAAAAGGCUUGCUAACAAGUACCAUGCUUUCCUAGCAUCAGAGGCGAUCAUGUAUAUUGACAUUUGUUCUAUGUGAAGCAGAUAGUAUUCCAUAUGUAAAUUUGGAUGAUUUGACUUGUAUUUCUUGUCUUUGUAAAGAUUAAAUGCUUUUUGAAUAUUGCUGGUAUUAGAUGAAUGAACAGAUAACUUGUAAAGAUUAAUUUCUUAUGUUCAGCUUUUUGUAAAGAUUGAAUGCUUUUUUAAUGUCAAUGAUGCUGGGACAAGAUUGAAUGACUUAUUUUUGUCAUGCUUAUGAUAACUUCUC
RNAcentral lists this long non-coding RNA (369 nucleotides) under Phoenix dactylifera (date palm). RNAcentral describes it as "long non-coding RNA (PDAC_LNC003028)". The record is from RNAcentral. Lineage: Eukaryota; Viridiplantae; Streptophyta; Magnoliopsida; Arecales; Arecaceae.